AUCCUGGCUGAUGGAUAUACUGAAGGCAUGAACGAUAUUAGUUGAACAAGGAAAUACACUUGAUCCAAAUUGUGAAGUUCUCUGCAGUGAAAUAUUAAAGGCGGCCCUCAAUGGAAAUACAUGGAGUUCUCCUCUCCUUGCCUGUGGAUGUGUACAUGCCUUCCUGAAGAAUUAAUUAACAAGCUAAACAGAGAAGGAUAACACUCAAGAAGCUGCCUAUAUGUAAGAGAUUCCUUUGAGAACUUUCAAAUGGCUCCUUCCUACAAAAAACCUGGGAAUACUUAACCUCCCACCACCAGCACACUCAAAGCUCAAGGCAAAUGCAUUUUCAAGAUUGACAGGGUCUUGGACUCUGAAAGUCUUUGUUUAUCUCUACAGAAGAAAUAAGGAAAUCGAAGAAGGCACGGUAACAGAGAUACAGGGAGGGAGGGAGGGAAUCAUAUUGUACUAUCCAGCACUACUAUUUUCUCUGAAUCUUCAGUAUUAGCUAGGAAGGAAGGAAGGAAAGAAGGGAGAGAGGGAAGGAAGGAGGGAUGGAAUGAAUUAUAUUGUACCAACCAGCACUA
RNAcentral lists this long non-coding RNA (566 nucleotides) under Macaca mulatta (Rhesus monkey). RNAcentral's name for it is "lncRNA (ENSMMUG00000064073.1)". Lineage: Eukaryota; Metazoa; Chordata; Mammalia; Primates; Cercopithecidae. The record is from RNAcentral.